CUGCUGUCAGUGUCUUUGAGACACAGCUGCCACCACCCCCCCCCCCACCUCUGCAGGAGACACUCAAAUAAUACGAGGUUUUGUUGUAGGUGGAAGUCUGUAGCGCAAAAGGAAGUUAUCAAUAUUUUAUGUAAAGCUUUUGUGUUGGUGUAGUCAAACAUGGCAUGAAGACAACGCUAAACCCGAUACUAUGGAGGACAAUUUUUAAUCAG
Balaenoptera musculus (blue whale) is the source of this 212-nucleotide long non-coding RNA. RefSeq lists it as uncharacterized. The record is from RefSeq and is a predicted model, not a curated record. The transcript has 3 exons. NCBI's taxonomy places the organism in Eukaryota, Metazoa, Chordata, Mammalia, Artiodactyla, Balaenopteridae.